This 252-nucleotide ribosomal RNA is filed under the name uncultured bacterium. RNAcentral's name for it is "partial 16S ribosomal RNA". It matches the Rfam family "Bacterial small subunit ribosomal RNA", at positions 524 to 776 of the family's 1533-position model. The record is from RNAcentral.
UACGAAGGGUGCAAGCGUUACUCGGAAUUACUGGGCGUAAAGGGUGCGUAGGUGGUUGUUUAAGUCUGUUGUGAAAGCCCCGGGCUCAACCUGGGAAUGGCAAUGGAUACUGGACAGCUAGAGUGCGGUAGAGGGUAGUGGAAUUCCCGGUGUAGCAGUGAAUGCGUAGAGAUCGGGAGGAACACCAGUGGCGAAGGCGGCUACCUGGACCAGCACUGACACUGAAGCACGAAAGCGUGGGGAGCAAACAGG